This is a long non-coding RNA of Leptinotarsa decemlineata (Colorado potato beetle), 761 nucleotides long. RefSeq lists it as uncharacterized. The record is from RefSeq and is a predicted model, not a curated record. Lineage: Eukaryota; Metazoa; Arthropoda; Insecta; Coleoptera; Chrysomelidae.
GACUAAGAGCGGUUGAAGGUCCCCGGCAACUCGGGCGGAUCACGUACGUGGUAAGAGAGCCUACUAGCCUUACAGUCGAAGUAGCGUUUGCCAGCCGAGCUCCAUCCAUACUCUACAGCUGACAACCUUAUCUUCAGUUUGUGGAGAACAUCCCGGCACCCAGGCGUUUCCGACUCGGUUCUAUAUCGACAGACACUAAGAAAGAAUUUGUUGAAAAAUAAAUUUGACUACCCAUUGAUAUGUUGGUAAAAAUGUUAUAGCGAAGUCGGAUGUAUCCAUUUGAUUGAGCAGCGUUUUAACUUCUUCAAAAUAUUGCGGCGGUCAUGAGGCGUAUUCGGGUUCGACAUUGAGAUGAUUUCAGGACGUUUCAGAACAGCUACCAGACUAUCUAUUGAUCAUGAACUCACACGAAACUUUCCAUGUCCCAACUGUGCGACUACUAGGACCGUUUCGUAUGAACUCAGAGUGGAACACAGCAAACAUAGAACUAGUAACAAGACUUGGGGACAGGGGAGAUUACGACCUCGUCCUCGAGUCAUAUAAGUACAAAUCUAAGUGAUUCUUGAAAAUGACUCCAAAGCAGGAGCCAAAACGUCGAAACAAUGAAAAUUACAGACGCGGUUCAACCCGGACAACAGUAUAUCAAAUUACUGACCGUGGAAACCUAUCCGAACAUAUAUAAGUUUUGGAAGCAAGAGUUGAGCAAUCUGUAAGCUUCAAUCAUUUAGAAUCAAAUAAAACACGUAUGAUUUUAAAAUAAA